UAAGCAACCGGUGAUCCGCCAUCAGCAAUUGUAGUACAGGCGCGACAUUUGCGGAGUCCAAGUUUUACACCCAUUGGCAGGGUCACUGGGACCCACCUCCUCCUCCCACCUCCUCUUCACUCCUCUAUUAGACUAUAGUGGUAUACUUUAGUAGUGUUACACUAUUUUGAUAAAAUAAAUGUGUCACUUCACAUACAAUUUUCCUUAAAGCAUUUUGAAACUCAAUCUCCUAUUCCUAUUUUGACUGUUCUCUUAUUACGAUUUUAUCCAUCGUAAUACAUGUGCUAACUUGGAGAGAUUUUUGAAAAUAUAACGAGACCAAUGUUCUUACGUUACUCUAGCUACCUUGAUCACACCAUAUUUCAUAAAAGAAAUAACAUAGAACCUAGAGCGAUCACUUGAGUUACAAACCCACAUGUUGCAUCUAAUCCUAACCUUUUAUUUUCUCAAGUACCGUAGUGUGCGAAAGCUUUUUGACAACCCACGAUGAGGCCCAUCAACUUUUUACAAGAUCCAGCCCAAGUCAAGAGGCCUAGUGGACGGAGUCAUAUAGGAUAUAGCUGACUAAACAUUUGGUUACCCACUGAGUUGAGAGUGCUGAUGUGUCCACUUUGGAUUAUUCGUUUCUUUUUUUUUCCCUAUAUACCUUAAAUUCAUUUACGGAACCACCGCGUCACAAAAACGUGACAAUUCCACAUAAAAUUUUCACUGUAACAAAAACAUGGUUUAGUAUACUAAAUAUGUCG
Molecule: long non-coding RNA, 746 nt
Filed under: Malus domestica (apple)
Lineage: Eukaryota; Viridiplantae; Streptophyta; Magnoliopsida; Rosales; Rosaceae
Description: long non-coding RNA (MDOM_LNC019457)
Source: RNAcentral